GACCGUGUAGCUCAGUAAGUAGAGCGUCGAUCUAGUAAUUCGAAGGUCGCGGGUUCGAGACCCAGCCGCCGCAGACA
Paramuricea clavata is the source of this 77-nucleotide non-coding RNA. The record is from the annotation of a GenBank genome assembly. NCBI's taxonomy places the organism in Eukaryota, Metazoa, Cnidaria, Anthozoa, Malacalcyonacea, Plexauridae.